This is a long non-coding RNA of Phocoena sinus (vaquita), 4024 nucleotides long. Lineage: Eukaryota; Metazoa; Chordata; Mammalia; Artiodactyla; Phocoenidae. The record is from Ensembl.
GGCCAGACACUGGGAGACAGCCCUCCCUCCUUGGCUUCCUUGAGAGUCUGUGCGUUCUCAGGCCUCCCAGUCGUGGCUCCUGCUCUACGCUCUCCUUGGGCUGCUGCUUUCCUCCUGGGCUGCCCGCCCAGCCCACCCCUGCUUGUCAUCUCAAGGGCCACUUCUCCUUGGAAGAGUCUCCUGACAACUCCCCCCCGACCCAGGGUGGGUUAGGGGCCCCUCCCUGGCUCACCCCGGGGUGACGUGACCACACUGUGUCCUAACGGUCUGUUUACCUGUUUACUUGCUGGCUUCCCCACCAUCCUCCUUUGCAUCUGGUCACUCCCUCCCUUCCAGGAUGGGUGCCCUCUCACCUCCACACUUCAUCCCCAUGGAGUAGUGCUGUGGCAUUUCUUGCUGUGGCAUUUCUCAGCUUGGGCCGCCCCCCUCCCCCACCAACUACCCCUCCCCUGCAAGUUUCCAUGUGGUUCUAGGUGUUUUCAUGGUUACAGGAACCCAAGAGUGGCCUCGGGCUCAGCAGGGCCCUUUCUCCUACUACACACCCAAGCUUGAUCAAUGUCCCCAAAGCUGCAACAAACAAGGAGGUGUGGGCCGUCACGUGGCCUUGAGUAACCACACUUUUGCUUCCUUCUUUUACACACGGCCGUUGGGGGUUGGAGCGGUCUGAGGCCACAGCAGAGGUGCCACAGCCGUGCUUGGCAGCACAGGCUGGGUCCUUGUUACUAAAGCAGAGAAGCCGCUUCUCCUGGGCCCACGAGGCAGCCAUCUCAUGCUCUGCUGAGCACGGUAAGUGCCAGCUUGCAAAAACCACAGGGAGUGGCUGGGUGGCAGGGUCUCCAGGGACCAGCAGACCUGCCUGACAGCCAAGGGCGGGCUGGGGGGCAACCCCGGGCAGAGCCUGAGCUGCAGCCCCUGGAAAGGACACCCCAAAGCCCUGGGCACUCGGGAUUGAGGUCUGCCUGGAGUUGGUAGCCUUAUUCUGCUGUUUCUUCCGGAUCCUGCUCUGCCUUUCCUGUCAGGUUUGCCAGCAGCUGCCGGUUUAGGGGCUACUCUGAAUUCACAAAACUGGAGAAAUCAGGAGCAUUUCCCUAAAAAUCAUCCUACUCCUUCGUUCAUGGUUGGGAAGCCAAAGCCCAGAGAGGUGAAGGGAUUUGCUCAGGCUAUGGAUCCAUAAAAAUAGUGUUUCCAAACUGUGUUCUUCACAUUCUUAUAGGAUUGAGAAAAUGAUGCUUGUCCACAGCAAAUUAUUAAAAUACUAGUUUUAAGAUACUACUGCUAGCAAAGGAGAAAAUAAUAAUGAUUAGAAUACUCUUAUUACUUUUGUAUCUGGGGUGCUUUAGGGGCAUAAAAGAGAAUGGUGGGGGGCUGGUAGCUAAAGCAGUGUCCCCUUACACACACACACACACACACACACACACACACACACACACACACACGCCCAUAGACAAGGAUCAGGGCAGGCAGGCUCUGGUCUCCUGGAAUUCUUUUUUCCUCAGGAGGUGGCUCCCCAGCCCCCGGGCAGGCCACACCCUACGUGGUAGAUGCCUCCCUCUCUGGGCUUGGCCAGCAGACGGGAGAUUGAAACUCAAUGGAAUGGGCUGGGAUGCCAGGCUGAGCAUUCCCUGGGAACCUAGGCCUUCAGAGGGGCCAGGGAAUCAUCUGAGAACCCUGCCCCCUUUUUACAAAUAAGAAAACCAAGGCUCAGAGGGGGGAAGCAGCAGCCCAUGGCAGCAUGGCUGGGAGGUGGCUGAGCUUGGACUUGUGGUGGCCCCAUCUGGCUGCAGGACCCUCGUGGAGCCCACAAAGACCCAAGGCCUCUGUCUCUCAGUCUCCUUUGCUGAGCUGGAGCAGGAAGACAGUGGGGGUGGCCUCUGGCUAGAAGGAAAUACGAUUGUUACCUGUUGUACUUCUUGAUGCAGGGUAGGCCACUAAGUCAAGAGACAGGGUGUUGGGGCAAGGAAUAGUGACUUUAUUUGGAAAGCCAGCAGACUGAGAAGAUGGCCCACUAGUGUCCCAAAGAACCUUCUUACCUGAGUUAGAAUUCAGGCUGCUUGUAUACUAAAAGGGGAGGAGGUGUGGCUGGUUGUUGCAAACUUCUUGGUGCUGGAAUCCUUUGUUCUUGCAGCUGUCCACAUAGUUCUGGUUGCAAUGUUCCUGUAAACCUCCAACAAGACGAUUGUUAUUUUCUGUUGUGCAACUUUUUAAUCUCUAUAUGAAUGGAAAAGUGUUAUACCUUUAAAGGUCAAGCCCGGGAAUAUUUCAAGCUAUAGAUGACAUUCUUUUACAAAGGUGCAGAGCCAGUAGGACUAAGCAGAGGCAACAGAGCACAAAGGUUAGAGCUAAAGGAAUAGAUCCAACAUGGAGUCAGGCUUGUUCUUCUCUGUUACAAUUUCCUAUUGUCAAUAUCCAUUCCACAAUCUUGCAGGAUAAGGGGCGACGACCACUCUGGCUACUUCCUGCUGAACGGGGGCAAGGAGGGGGUGAUGGUGGAAUGGAAUUUAUCAACUUGGAACUGGUAGUAUUCCCGAGUCCUAGGCUGGGUAUAAGCAGUUUGCAUUAUGAAGAUACUGCUCCCCCUUUUUAUGGCCCUGUCACAACACUUAGACAAGCACUUGAACAUAUAUAUAAACUCCAGCACUUGGGAUGAGGGCACCUAGGCUGCUCUGCCCUGAGCUGUCUUUGCAUAUUUCCCCUGUUGGCCAAACAGAUAGCUUUAUUAAAGCAUUUCCUUUCCAACAAGUACAAGUGAAAUGGGAGAGUAAAGUCAUUGUUACUUAUCUGGUAGGAUCUUAACAGCAACUUAAGAUCUUCUGAUGGCUUGCAAGUCCAAGUCUGCAGACCUACUGGCUACAGAUUCUCCUGCCUGGGCAGACACCUAUAAUGGCCUACCACCCAAUAUUUCAAAAGGGCUUAAUUUAAGCUUGCUUCUGGGAGCCGCUCUAAUCUGUCGCAGGGCGACUGGCAAGGCCUUAUCCCAAGGUAAAUGAGUAGUUUCCAAUCAAUAUGAUACCUGUUGGGUUAUACUUGUAGACAAAAGCAAGCCCAUUGUCACUUUGGCAUUAGGCAAUCCAAACUGAGGAAUAAUUUACCUUUCCUGGGGCACCAUCAGCCCACACUUCUCAUCUUACCUUUCUGUAGACCUCAGGGGGAUCAAGUUCUGUCUGUUUUUCUGAAUUUUCUAGGAGAGCCCUCUGUAGGUGUUAAAGCAUGUUCUGGUGGGACUCUGAUAUCAAGUUGUCCUGGUGAAAAAGUCACUUGAGCAUUCAGUUUACAGAGGCAAUCUUGGCCCAGGUUGGGGAUAGGGCAUUCAGGCAUGUACAAGAAACUACGUUUUAAUAUCAGAUCUCCUAAUUGACACUCCAAUGGUUUGAAAUAAAUUGUCAGCUCUGUACUUCCCCUGAUACCCCAGUGACUGGGGUAGACUGGGAUGUUCUCUGUGCCAACUUAGUGUUUAGCAUGGAAUACGUUACCCCUGUGUCUACCAGAAAGUCAAUCAGUUUUCUUCCCACUGUCAAUUUUACCUGGGGCUCCUGUGGGGAUAUUUGAAUUGAGUGUCAUAAAUCCAGAGGAGCCCCUGGGUCUCUUCAUUCAUCAUCUAAACAUUCUUCCCUCUCUACAUCUGAGAGGCCCCACUCCUUUCCUUUUUUAGCCCUCCUUUAAAAAAACAAUUUUUUUUAAUUGAAGUAUAGUUGAUUUACAAUGUUGUGUUAGUUUCAGGUAUACAGCACAGUGAUUCAGUUAUACAUAUAUUUAUAUCUAUUCUUUUUCAGAUUCUUUUCCCUUAUAUGUUAUUACAAAAUAGUGAGUAUAGUUCCCUGUGCUAUACAAUAGGUUCUUGUUUAUCUAUUUUAUUUAUAGUAGUGUGAAUAUGUUAAUCCCAAAAUCUUAAUUUAUCCCUCCCCCACCCCUUUCCCCUUUGGUAACCAUAAAUUUGUUUUCUAUGUCUGUGGGUCUAUUUUUGUUUUGUAAAUAAGUUAUUUUGUAUCUUGUUUUUGAGAUUCCACAAAUAAAUGAUAUCAUAUGA